This 855-nucleotide ribosomal RNA is filed under the name Idarnes sp. D2660. Its description in RNAcentral is "eukaryotic LSU rRNA". It matches the Rfam family "Eukaryotic large subunit ribosomal RNA", at positions 394 to 966 of the family's 3401-position model. The record is from RNAcentral. Lineage: Eukaryota; Metazoa; Arthropoda; Insecta; Hymenoptera; Pteromalidae.
AGUACGUGAAACCGUUCAGGGGUAAACCUGAGAAACCCAAAAGAUCGAAUGGGGAGAUUCAUCGUCAGCCGGAUUGGCCUCCGUGCGGUUCGCGAUGCUCGGCGUGGUCUUCGGGCCGUCGUUGGGGCACGCGUCCGCCGCGGUACGUCCGAUUCGGUCGGCGUGCACUUCUCCCCUAGUAGGACGUCGCGACCCGUUGGGUGUCGGCCUACGAGGCGCGGAUCGUCGACUGUCGCGUCGCGUUCACGCGCGCACGCGGCAGACGCCGCUCAUCCGGCCGACUGCCCGGCGGUAUAGAACGCUUUUGAAUUACGGUAAAGAGCCGCACCAAGUGCGUCCGGCUCGUCGGCAGGCUCGUCUCGCUCGGAUUUACGGACCUCGUUCCGUUGCCGGGCGCUUGGCGCGGCCGUUGGUCGACGAAGCUCUCGGACCGGCUCGGCUCGUUCGAACGGAUUUACCGGUCGGCGACGCUACUGCUUUGGGUACUUUCAGGACCCGUCUUGAAACACGGACCAAGGAGUCUAACAUGUGCGCGAGUCAUUGGGACUUGGAACGAAGCCUAAAGGCGCAAUGAAAGUGAAGGUCGUAACCGAGAGAUCGGUCGACCGAGGGAGGAUGGUUCGCGUCACGAUGCGAACUCGCACUCCCGGGGCGUCUCGCGCUCAUUGCGAGCGGAGGCGCACCCAGAGCGUACACGUUGGGACCCGAAAGAUGGUGAACUAUGCCUGGUCAGGACGAAGUCAGGGGAAACCCUGAUGGAGGUCCGUAGCGAUUCUGACGUGCAAAUCGAUCGUCGGAACUGGGUAUAGGGGCGAAAGACUAAUCGAACCAUCUAGUAGCUGGUUCCCUCCGAAG